AACGAAAAGAACSKUACCAGGUCUUGACAUCCCUAUGAAUCGUCUAGAGAUAGGCGCGGCCUUCGGGACAGAGGAGACAGGUGGUGCAUGGUUGUCGUCAGCUCGUGUCGUGAGAUGUUGGGYUAAGUCCCGCAACGAGCGCAACCCUUGACUUUAGUUGCCAGCAGGUCAAGCUGGGCACUCUAGAGUGACUKCCGGUGACAAACCGGAGGAAGGUGGGGAUGACGUCAAAUCAUCAUGCCCCUUAUGACCUGGGCUACACACGUACUACAMYSGCCCSGUUCUCGGGAAGCGAAGCCGCKAGCGGAGCC
This 311-nucleotide ribosomal RNA is filed under the name Paenibacillus durus. RNAcentral describes it as "partial 16S ribosomal RNA". It matches the Rfam family "Bacterial small subunit ribosomal RNA", at positions 958 to 1269 of the family's 1533-position model. Lineage: Bacteria; Bacillati; Bacillota; Bacilli; Caryophanales; Paenibacillaceae. The record is from RNAcentral.